RNAcentral lists this transfer RNA (78 nucleotides) under Podarcis lilfordi (Lilford's wall lizard). Its description in RNAcentral is "tRNA.Ile". Lineage: Eukaryota; Metazoa; Chordata; Lepidosauria; Squamata; Lacertidae. The record is from RNAcentral.
GUCCAAGUGGCUAGCUCAGUUGGUUAGAGUGUGGUGCUGAUAACUCCAAGGUUGCAGGUUUGAUCCCCUUAUGGGACA